GGCCUCCUGCUGCUUACCACAAGCUGUGUUCUUAUACUGACUGUAUAGAUAAAGAGGAGAAAAGUAAACCUGCCCCCUACACAUCACAACCCAGGUCCUGUGCCUGGUCUAUAUGGUGAAUGGGAAGACAUGA
This 133-nucleotide small nucleolar RNA is filed under the name Castor canadensis (American beaver). Its description in RNAcentral is "Small nucleolar RNA SNORA51 (ENSCCNG00000009009.1)". It matches the Rfam family "Small nucleolar RNA SNORA51". From Rfam's summary of the family: ACA51 is a member of the H/ACA class of snoRNA that guide the sites of modification of uridines to pseudouridines. The record is from Rfam by way of RNAcentral. Lineage: Eukaryota; Metazoa; Chordata; Mammalia; Rodentia; Castoridae.